UACGUAGGCGGCAAGCGUUGUCCGGAAUUAUUGGGCGUGAAGCGCGCGCAGGCGGCCUCUUAAGUCUGAUGUGAAAGCCCCCGGCUCAACCGGGGAGGGCCAUUGGGAACUGGGAGGCUUGAGUAUAGGAGAGAAGAGUGGAAUUCCACGUGUAGCGGUGAAAUGCGUAGAGAUGUGGAGGAACACCAGUGGCGAAGGCGACUCUUUGGCCUAUAACUGACGCUGAGGCGCGAAAGCGUGGGGAGCAAACAGG
This 253-nucleotide ribosomal RNA is filed under the name uncultured bacterium. RNAcentral's name for it is "partial 16S ribosomal RNA". It matches the Rfam family "Bacterial small subunit ribosomal RNA", at positions 524 to 776 of the family's 1533-position model. The record is from RNAcentral.